UGCCUCGUAGCCAAGUGGUAAGGCAUCGCACUCUGAAUGCGACAUUCGCUAGUUCGAAUCCAGCCGAGGCAA
RNAcentral lists this transfer RNA (72 nucleotides) under Firmicutes bacterium CAG:822. It matches the Rfam family "tRNA". From Rfam's summary of the family: Transfer RNA (tRNA) molecules are approximately 80 nucleotides in length. The record is from Rfam by way of RNAcentral. Lineage: Bacteria; Bacillati; Bacillota.